Long non-coding RNA from Oreochromis niloticus (Nile tilapia), 286 nucleotides. RefSeq lists it as uncharacterized. The transcript is spliced from 3 exons. NCBI's taxonomy places the organism in Eukaryota, Metazoa, Chordata, Actinopteri, Cichliformes, Cichlidae. The record is from RefSeq and is a predicted model, not a curated record.
ACGUGGUGGGGGAAACGUGAGCAGGCUGCAAGACAUCACUGUGUGAAGGCUAUAAUUUUUGACACAAAAAAUGGAAAACAACUUUGUGCUGAUCCAGACGCUCAGUGGGUCAAAGAUCUCACUGCCAAAAUGAGGAAGGUGUGAAGUCUGUCUGCUGCAUCAGUAUUUCCAGUAUUUCCAUCACCAUUAAAGGCUUAUUCAAACCAGAGCGCUUUCUCAGCCUGACUGUCUUAAAACUUUCUUUUUUGCAUUUGUAGAUUAAUUUUUACUCUUACCUGUGGAGUAA